AUUGUGAUUCCAUUUGAGGUGUCACACUUGGGGCACUAGGCACUCAAGCUUCAUGAAGACUUUCUACACCAAAGAGGUAUGUAUUCUAUCUUGCUAUAGUUAUUGUUUUGUAUGCUAGAUUAGGAUAAUACCUUGGAAGUUCUUAUUUGCAUGUAUAAUAGAGAAAACAUAGAUCCAAGGUAUUUAGGGUUGCAUGUACACUUAGGAAGUGUUAGAAUGCUCAAAACCCAACAGUGGUAUCAGAGCCACGGGUUGUUUUCUGUUAUAUUGAUGCAAAUAUUUUAUUUUCAAAGUUGAAAAAAAAAAAAAAAAAAAACAUGAAGUUUGUCAAAUUUUAAGAUAAUUACUUGUUCUUGUGAAAAACUAAUUAUUUGUAAAAUUUGAAUAAUUUGCUUUAUGAGUUGAAUUAGGUCAAAUUUAAUAAAAGAUAAAAUAAUAUGAUUAUUUUAUUAGUUUUAAAAGUUUGAUCUAAAGAGUUUUAUUUUUUGAAACCUCCAUAAGUUAUGGAUAUGAAAAGGUUUUAAAAAAAAAAUUGAUUCAAAGUUUUUUUGGAGUUACAAAAUUUGGUGUUAAUGUUUUAAAGGAUUCCAUAACUUAAGAAUAAGUUAUGGAUCACCAAAAGUUUUUUGUGUUACCUUGUUUUAUGAGUGAAUUUAGAUUAAUGAAUAAAAUUAUGUGAUAGUUGGUUUUAAUCCAAAUUAAUCUAAGAAUUGAUUCUAAAAUGUGUUUUUGUAACUUGUCCUCAAGUUAUAUGAAAAGUCACAUUUAAGAAUCAUAAAACUCAUAAAAAUUGGCAAAGGUUACAAAAAUGAAGAGUCUAGUUCUAAUUAAAUGGUUUUAUGACUCCAUAACUUGUCCUCAAGUUAUGGAGGACCAAGAGUCUCUUCAUUUAAUAAAAUAAAAUAAAAAAAAAAAAAGUGUAACCUUAAUUAAUUCCAUAAGUUAUAAAAUAAAGAAAAGUUAAUUCUUUUAUUAGUUUAAAGUCUUCCAUAACUUGUCCUCAAGUUAUGGAACUUGAAGAGUUUUUGGAUUAAAACUACUUUAAACACAUAAGUUAUGGAAUUAAUUAGUUUUGAAUAGUUUCAAAACUUGCCCUCAAGUUUUGGAAUUUGUAAAGUUUUCACUUAUGAAUACUUUAAUUCCAAGUUAGCCCUUAGAAUUUUAAAAGUUAAAAUUCAACCCUUAUACUUUAUAAUAUUAUAAGUUAAUAAUAUAUAUAUGUAUAAGAGUAAAGUCAGUCUUACCGCUAGUACGCCUCAUUCACGAAGCCGGUCUAUAAGGUGGGUAUAAGGUUGUUGCCUAUAAAAUGGCAACUUAAUGGGUGUCCACUCUCACCCACCGCUUGCUUGACUGGUGGAGGGUCGUUAGCCGAACGGGUUUGACAGGACUAGAAUUCUCCCUUCAUUAAAAGUAUUAAUGAUAAUACUAAGUAACUAAACUCUUAAUAAUACCCAAUCUUAGUUACUUAGGAAAAAUGUGAAUAAGGUGCUAAUCCAUGAAAUUACACUUUACACUUUGUCUAAGUCGUUAGUGGAGCGUGUGUGGUUAACCGGCACACUAACUUGGACUUAACAAGGUAGGUAAAGGGUGACUUAAUAUUUAUCAUAGUAUCGAUGGAGCGUGUGUGGUUAACCGGCACAUCGAUUGAGGGGUAAUUUAUUAAGGGUACCAAGUGAUUUGCAUGGUUACUUCACACCUUGUUUUGUGAUCCUCGGCAUCCCAGUCACAAAACCUGAAGGGCACACUCGAGAUUGAAACAUGCCUUUGAACAGUUCAAUGAAUCUCAAAGAUCUAGGAGUUUCAAAACCAAUUAAAACCUAAUAAUACAUUUCGUUUAUCUUGGUGGAAAUUGGUGAAUCGUCAUUCACCUACCUUCAAAUAUUUUAUAGCUUGGAUUACGGCAUACCUCUUCUAAGUUAUAAAAUAGUUUGUUGGGUCCUAGCCUUAAUAUUUCAUAUUGGGUGUCAUAUUAAGGACUUUAAAUCAACUAUCUUGAAUAUCUCCCAAAAGAUGUCUGGUUUAGACACCUAUGAUCUUCCCAAAUCUCUUGAAACAAGGUUUCCUAAUGAAGAUGAUGUCCCAUGGAUAUCAUACUUCUUUCUCCUCCUCCAAUUAUUCUCCCUAACCCACAAGUUCUUGAAAAGUUUAAGGUCACUCAAGCCCUAUUGGCAAGGCAAGGUCUAGGUGUGAUCACAUCUUGGAGAUGUAGUCACAUAUUGACAAGCCGGGAGAGUUGGGUGUCAAAGUCUUGAGAAAGUUGGUGGUUCAAUCACUUUCUAAGUCACAUAGUGAGUUCCUUUGGGACACCUAUGAAACAGACUAUGACAAGACCCUUAAUGAUCUUAUCUAUUUGCUAAGAUCAACUUCCUAAAACUUUAUGGACAUUGACAAUGAUGACAUUGGAUAUCCAGUAAAGCAUUCUCUUCCCAAUGGAAAGGGAUCGGCCAUAGUCAACUCGGUUGACCAAAUGGUAAAGAGAAAAGCUAAGUCUGUGAUAGUCUCGUGUACCAUUAUCAAAGGGUCCAUAUGUUUAUAUUGCCAAAGGAAGGGGCAUUGGUUGCGAAGCUGCCAAAUUUACCUAAGGAUGUUAAAGUCAAUAAGUUUGACUCUACUUCAGGUAAAGUCCACUAUCUAACUCUGUUAAGUUUCUAUUCUGAGAUUCCUGAUACAUGAUGUGACUGGGUCACAUGGUGAUGUUUUAAGAAUCAAAGAAAAGUGAAGAAACUUAAAGAAAGAAUAUGCUGAAUCUGAUGGCGUAGAUGGAUUUCUAUCGCAUAGUUUGAAGAUCGGAUUCUUGAGCAACUUCUUAGGAGUUAUGAGAUAUUGCUUAGGAAUAGAUAACAACAAGUUUUCAUAUGGAUUGUAAGGAUAAGUUUUUCCGCAAAGUUUUAAAAUAAAAGAAAAAUUUUUUGAUUUUAUUUAUUUUAAAAUAUCCUUACAAUGGCUUUUGAGGAAAAAUUGUUGCUUAUAUGAUUCCAUUAAGAGCAAGAGUGGAAAUAUGAAAUUGAUUCUUUCAUUUGUGGUAAUGUCUAGAUUUACCAAAUAAGGAAAGAUUCUCAUCACCCAAGUUUCAAUUGGACCGGAACUUGGAAUCAUGCAAGUUGUAUAGCAUGAUGAAUGAGAACUUUCAAGUUUUGGAAAAUUAAGACUAAUUACUCGGCCACAUGGAUGUGUGAGUCAAGUAAAGGACUAAGGGAUCGAGUACACAUUCUUGUGCACUGAUUAAGUCCACCACAAAAGAUUGAUAAGACUAUUCGUCAUAGUUUACUAAAGCUCAGUAAAUAUGAUUAUACUUACAAGCUUAAGUGUAACUCUGAGACAUUGGAAAAGGUUCCAAUGUAUGGCAGGGCGAAUAAGAAGAAUCAAAUUAGGCAGAAGGAUAAAAGUUUCUCAAAUCUGAAAAGAUGGGAGAGUACUUUAGUAUCAGUUUUGUGAUCAUCUUAAUGAUUAAGAAACCAUAUCAAAAUUAGUUCUCUAAGGAAAUCUUAGUGCAUUCUUAUGACUAAGAAGAGGAACUUGAAUUGUUGAAAUGGUUAAAUCAAGAAGAUGAGUCAUACUUCGUUCCAAUACAAGUCUUAGAGUCAUACUCCAAGAUUGUCAUUUGAGUGACAUGUCUUAAAGAAGGUUUAAAACACUUGUCAAAUGUAAGAGUAAAAGUUUUCUACUCUUGUACAUUUGAAAUUGGUAAGUUGUGAUGUUUUGGAUAAAACAAAGACCAACUUAGGCCAAUUGGGUAAAGUGUUUUUCUUGAUUAGAAUCCGCACUAUCUCUUGGAUGUUUGACAAGGGAGUCUUAUAGGUCAAGAGGACAGUGGGAGUCUUAAAGGUCUUGAAAGUCUCAAGAACUAAUCAAGAAUAAAACCUGAAGUUCUUCACUAGCACACAACUUGAGGUUCAUAACCUAUCGUGUUGACAUAUUCUGUGCCCAUUCCAGUUAAAGUUGGCUUUGCAUAUGAGUUCUUAGAGUUCUCAAUUUGUUGCACAACAACUUGGAAGCAAUGGCAGGCCCUUGAGCUGCCAGGUGGCAAGAAAUUAAGAUUGAGUUCAGUCCAUAUGAGUUUGGAUUUGUCAUUAUCCUUGUCUUGUGACUAUGGUUUUGACAAUUCACAUGGAUAAGAACACAUACACCAUUAAAUCUAAGUGUCAUAAGGUUUCUCUCCGAUUCAUGAAAAUGAUGGUGAGGAAACACUUUCACUAAGUAGAUUUUAGCUAGAUAGCAAUUGUGAUAUUUGCAUUCUCAAAGUCGUUAGUGGAGCGCGUGUGGUUAACCGGCACACUAAUUUGGACUUGUGAGAAGUGGCAAAAAGGUCUAAACAUUAUGAUUACGGCAUCCCUCUUCAUAAUUGUUUAGAUACACAAGUGUGCUAUCUAAGGGAAGGUGUAUGAUUUUGAUACAGUUUUAUCAAAACAAUCUAGUAUCAGAAAUCUGAACUUUGGUAAGAAAGUCAAUGAAGUAUUGAUUUCUAGAAGUCCAGCUGAUUUCUGAGUACAUGUCAAAGCUAGUGGGAGCAUAAGUGUUAUGCUAAUAAUCAUCAUGUUAGUGGGAGCAUGAUAAUUAUGAUAAGUAUUGCAAGUUAGCAAUGUUAAUUAUAGAAAACAAAAGUUUCAAUUGGGAAAAAGUUGUUUUGCUAUAAUUAAGGGAGAGGAAAUUAUACUUCAUCUCAAAUCUAUAAGCUUAGAUCGUGAGGUUUUAAUCAUUUAGUCAAGGAUAUAUAUGAAUUUCAUGUUGGAAUGGCUCAACAUAAGGAAAUUCUGUAUAUGGGUCCAUUAUUUGCGUUCUAAAAUUCGAUUAUGAUUACGGCAUCCCUUUUCAUAAUCUGAAUUAUGAGAACUUGGCAAAUUGAAAUGGAAAUAUUAUAGCAAAAGACUGGUUUAGUCUUUAUGUGAGACAUCAUGAAUCGUGUCCCAUAUGCUUCGGAUAUAGGAUCGAUUACAUGUGCUAUAUUCAUCCGUUCUAAAAUUUUCCAAAUGCCUGGGGCAUUAAGAAGGGAAAAGGUUUAGAACUGGAUAUGACUAAAAGGAUUAAACAAUUGUCGAGGACAAUCUAAGGUUUACCAAAGAUUGGUUGCUCAAGGACAGUUGGAAGUAUAGUGAUAAUUCUGGAAGGACCAUAUUGACAUAAUCUGUAAGGAGGCAACUCUUGUUCAGAAGUGAUAGUCAAAAUGGAAUCUGGAAAUGUUUCAAAGUUAGAAUUUUCAAUCUGUUUAAGAUUAGGAAACUUAAUGCAAGAAGGAUGUUUCCAAGGAGCUGAUCUCCUUUGGAAUACUCUGUAAUGAUUGUUGUCAAGUCUUUCUGACUUUGUGCAUAAUCAUUACAAGAGGAUCAAUGCAUAUAAGUUUAGAAUCUAACAGAUUUCAGUAAAUGGCAUGAAUUUGGAAUUCUUGCAUUUGCAGUAAGGAUUUGGGAGUGUGAAAAGAGAAUCAUUGAAGUUAUGUUCAAUUGAUCUAGUUCACAAAGUAAAGAUCAUAGACAAACAUAGUAUGCAUACUUGGUGUGUGGCAUGACUAGUGUUUAAGAAAACAUAGUGUACAUGCUUGGAGCAUGGGACAACUAUUGUUUUAAAUUCAAGAAUAAAGUUGAUAGCUGAAACAGUAUACAAUGAAUAAUGUGUAAUCAUAUGGUGAUAAAUAAAAGGUGUUUUAUUUAUGUUCAUAAGUUUUGAUACCAUAUUGGAUUCAAUUAUUAUUGUGUUUCACUUUGCAUGUUUUGACUUCCCGAAUAAACUAGGUUAUUCUUCCGGAAUGACUAAGUUAUUCAAACCAUCCACAGUCGGUCAUAUGUUGGAAGUAGAUAUGAAUUAAGACUGUCAUGGGUUGGCUUGUAGAGGUCUAAGGUGUUGGACAAAGGGCUACAACACUCAUGAGUGCUCAUAAGUUCUGAGUAUUGGAUUCAACCCGCGCUCAUUGGAAUCACUUCAUGGAUUUUAUCACGAGUGAUCAUGAGACGAUAAUAUCUUAUAUUCUUCAAACCUAGAGAUAUGAGUUGUUACUAUGAGUUGAUAGUACAUUGAUUGCACGAAAACGCAUUUGGUAACUCGGUGCUAUAAAACGUGCCUUUGUGUAUGAUUCAACAAGUAGUAGAACAAGCCAUAUGAGUCGAAGUUUAUCCAUUCCUUUUACCUUCGGGAUAAAAGCGAUAUCUGUGGGCCCCUCGAUGAUUUGAUGAUGACAAAUGGAAGUGCUCGGCCGGGCCAGGACUGAUUUGAUUUGUUCAAUUAGUCAGUCGUCAUAAAUCGGAAAUCGGGAAACAACAAAUGGACAGAGAGAAUGAUUAUAAUCCAUGUCUCAGUCCAUAUGAUAUCUAGAAUGGAGGAAUAUAUGAUCCCUUAUCUAAUGGACAAGUCAUUGACAAAGGUCAGAGUUCAUCUACAAGGUCAGAGUUCGACAGAAGCUUUUGAGAGCUACGAUUGCCAGUUGGUUCCUGAAGUCAUACGCAAUAAUAGUUUUAGACUUAUCCAAGUGGGAGACUGUUGGAUUAAUGUCUAAGUCCAUAACUAUAAUUGGUAAGACUUGACCCGACCCGGCAUGGUCCAUUUGGGUUGCAUGGCAUCAUGCACUUGGAUAGACUAUAAUGAGAGAAAUAAGACACUUAUGGUUAUUAAUAUAUUAUAAGUUCUAGUAUAUUAAUAAUAAGAAUAAUAAGAUUAUUUAAUUAGUAUUGAUCAAGAAUUAAUCUAGGAUUAAUUAAGUGAUCAAAAGAAGACUAAUUAAAUAUAUGGGUUGAUUGUGUAAAUCAUCCAUACUUGUAUAGUGGGCUAAUGCUCCAUGGAUAAUCAAGUUGGGCUAAAACCCAUAGGAUGGUCCAUGGAUGCUCCAUGGUGUAUUUGUACCCAUGGAUCAUGGAAAUGAAAGGCCAUGUCAAUUAGGGUUUACAUGGUGUAACCCUAACUAUAUAAGCAUCUUAUUCUUGACCAAAAUCGGCCACUAGUGUGUGAAGAAAAAGGGCUAGCCGAUUUUCAUGAGUGUGGUUUUCUCUCAAGUCAUUCCAUGUGUAUUUGGUGUUGUGUGAACCAUUUGAGGUGUCACACUUGGGGCACUAGGCACUCAAGCUUCAUGAAGACUUUCUACAUCAAAGAGGUAUGUAUUCUAUCUUGCUAUAGUUAUUGUUUUGUAUGCUAGAUUAGGAUAAUACCUUGGAUGUUCUUAUUUGCAUGUAUAAUAGAGAAAACAUAGAUCCAAGGUAUUUAGGGUUGCAUGUACAC
This 7200-nucleotide long non-coding RNA is filed under the name Lactuca sativa (garden lettuce). Its description in RNAcentral is "long non-coding RNA (LSAT_LNC005165)". The record is from RNAcentral. Lineage: Eukaryota; Viridiplantae; Streptophyta; Magnoliopsida; Asterales; Asteraceae.